RNAcentral lists this ribosomal RNA (468 nucleotides) under uncultured bacterium. RNAcentral's name for it is "partial 16S ribosomal RNA". It matches the Rfam family "Bacterial small subunit ribosomal RNA", at positions 28 to 507 of the family's 1533-position model. The record is from RNAcentral.
GACGAACGCUGGCGGCGUGCUUAACACAUGCAAGUCGAACGGUGAUGCCCCAGCUUGCUGGAGUGGAUCAGUGGCGAACGGGUGAGUAACACGUGAGCAACCUGCCCCAGACUCUGGAAUAAGCGCUGGAAACGGCGUCUAAUACUGGAUACGAAACUGGCCCGCAUGGGCAUGGUUUGGAAAGUUAUUCGGUUUGGGAUGGGCUGGCGGCCUAUCAGCUUGUUGGUGAGGUAAUGGCUCACCAAGGCGACGACGGGUAGCCGGCCUGCGAGGGCGACCGGCCACGCUGGGACUGGGCCACGGCCCAGACUCCUACGGGAGGCAGCGGUGGGGAAUAGUGCACUAUGGGCGGAAGCCUGAUGCAGCGACGCCGCGUGAGGGAUGACGGCCUUCGGGUUGUAAACCUCUUUCAGCAGGGAAGAAGCGAAAGUGACGGUACCUGCAGAAGAAGCACCGGCUAACUACGUG